RNAcentral lists this long non-coding RNA (266 nucleotides) under Vigna radiata. RNAcentral's name for it is "long non-coding RNA (VRAD_LNC014094)". The record is from RNAcentral. Lineage: Eukaryota; Viridiplantae; Streptophyta; Magnoliopsida; Fabales; Fabaceae.
AACUAUUUAAUAUUAUUUAUUUAAAAUGUAGAAUUUUACUUCUCUACAUUAUUUUACGAUAUAUAUUAAAUGAAUGUAAACUUAUCAUCCUAUAGUUACUCUAAAAAAUUUUGUGUGCCUUACCUUCUGUACGUAGACUGCACUUCGUGGCAGCAAGUCAAGAACACAGAUAUCUUAUGUAGUAUGUUGUAGUUGUGGUUGCAUGCGUUUGUCCCCUCUUUUUCUGAUGUUGUGCUUGGCCGCGUGGUCUCUGCUUUAGCCAUAUA